This 420-nucleotide ribosomal RNA is filed under the name Fusobacteriota bacterium. RNAcentral's name for it is "Fusobacteria bacterium partial 16S ribosomal RNA". It matches the Rfam family "Bacterial small subunit ribosomal RNA", at positions 355 to 776 of the family's 1533-position model. Lineage: Bacteria; Fusobacteriati; Fusobacteriota. The record is from RNAcentral.
UGGGGGAUAUUGCACAAUGGGCGAAAGCCUGAUGCAGCGACGCCGCGUGGGGGAUGAAGGCCUUCGGGUUGUAAACUUCUUUUGCUCUGAACAAGGCAUGCCUUUGGGGUGUGUUGAGUGUAGGGGUUGAUUAGCGCCGGCUAACUACGUGCCAGCAGCCGCGGUAAUACGUAGGGCGCGAGCGUUGUCCGGAAUUAUUGGGCGUAAAGGGCUCGUAGGUGGUUCGUCGCGUCUGUCGUGAAAGCCAGCAGCUUAACUGUUGGUCUGCGGUGGGUACGGGCGGGCUUGAGUGCGGUAGGGGGGACUGGAAUUCCUGGUGUAGCGGUGGAAUGCGCAGAUAUCAGGAGGAACACCGAUGGCGAAGGCAGGUCACUGGGCCGUUACUGACACUGAGGAGCGAAAGCGUGGGGAGCGAACAGG